RNAcentral lists this long non-coding RNA (539 nucleotides) under Callithrix jacchus (white-tufted-ear marmoset). RNAcentral's name for it is "lncRNA (ENSCJAG00000074302.1)". The record is from RNAcentral. Lineage: Eukaryota; Metazoa; Chordata; Mammalia; Primates; Cebidae.
AAAAGUUUUGGCUUAAGAAGAUUAUUUUUCAAAUCCCAGGAGAAUAACAAUUGGAAAACCCAUGCAUUCUGUAGUUUCUGGAAUGAAUAUAAGGUUUUAAUAGGCAGAGCUAUGAAAUGAUCAAUUCUCCUAACUCAGUUUCAUUAUCCUUUGUUUUUUGGAAAACUGUACCCACAGCAUCCAUGGCAAACCCAAAGAGAAGAAUUGCAGAGUCUUGACAAUGCUUCUCUCUGCAUUUGGCGCAGCGGUAACCUACAGAUGCAUGGAGAGAUGAAAAUGAUUUCUACCUUUAUAACCUUAUAUUGUAUGCUCUUUAAAGGUUUCUGGAAUGAAUGAUACCCAUUUUCCUGUGAUCUUUACAGAAAAGAAGAUGGCCAAAUCUGUAACUAAAUUUUGAAAAUCAGGAAAUGGGACAUUACUACUGGUCUUGGCCUUGAGAACAUCUGGGAGGGAUCAAAGAUUCUGCACUAAGAGAAAGAUCAGCAUUUUGCUCACAUUAGGGGGUAAACCGUAGAUUUUUGAUCCUCUAAUAAAAGUGA